This 292-nucleotide unclassified non-coding RNA is filed under the name fungal sp. RNAcentral describes it as "partial internal transcribed spacer region". The stretch from base 1 to 46 matches the Rfam family "Eukaryotic small subunit ribosomal RNA", at positions 1786 to 1831 of the family's 1831-position model. Lineage: Eukaryota; Fungi. The record is from RNAcentral.
AAGUCGUAACAAGGUUUCCGUAGGUGAACCUGCGGAAGGAUCAUUAAUGAAAUGAUAAUUUUUUGGGGUUUUCCCUGAAAAAUAAUUCACCUUUUGUGCAUUGUUAAUAGAUAUACUUUGGUUAGAGCUUUGAUUUCAUUUAUUGGAAUCAACUUCUUGCUAACUCUAUCCUGUUAAGGACAGUUGGCUAUGAAGCGGCCUACCAAGGUUUUUUUAUCAAAUUCUUGUAUUUUGUCUGACCUAAACUAUUAUAAUUAAAUCAUAACUUUCAACAACGGAUCUCUUGGCUCUC